RNAcentral lists this ribosomal RNA (458 nucleotides) under uncultured bacterium. RNAcentral's name for it is "partial 16S ribosomal RNA". It matches the Rfam family "Bacterial small subunit ribosomal RNA", at positions 338 to 795 of the family's 1533-position model. The record is from RNAcentral.
CCUACGGGAGGCUGCAGUGGGGAAUAUUGCACAAUGGGGGAAACCCUGAUGCAGCGACGCCGCGUGAGUGAAGAAGUAAUUCGGUACGUAAAGCUCUAUCAGCAGGGAAGAAACACUGACCUUACGGUCAGCAGACGGUACCUGAGUAAUAAGCCCCUGCUACCUACGUGCCAGCAGCCGCGGUAAUACGUAGGGGGCACGCGUGAUCCGGAUUUACUGGGUGUAAAGGGAGCGUAGACGGUGCGCCAAGUCUGGAGUGAAAUGGCGGAGCUUAACUGCGGAACUGCUUUGGAAACUGGCGAACUCGAGUGGGGGAGGGGUAAGCGGAAUUCCUAGUGUAGCGGUGAAAUGCGUAGAUAUUAGGAGGAACACCGGUGGCGAAGGCGGCUUACUGGACCGUAACUGACGUUGAGGCUCGAAAGCGUGGGGAGCAAACAGGAUUAGAUACCCCGGUAGUC